This 343-nucleotide unclassified non-coding RNA is filed under the name soil metagenome. RNAcentral describes it as "partial contains 5.8S ribosomal RNA, internal transcribed spacer 2, and large subunit ribosomal RNA". The stretch from base 1 to 120 matches the Rfam family "5.8S ribosomal RNA", at positions 35 to 154 of the family's 154-position model. The record is from RNAcentral.
GAUGAAGAACGUAGUGAAAUGCGAUAAGUAAUGUGAAUUGCAGAAUUCAGUGAAUCAUCGAAUCUUUGAACGCACAUUGCGCCCAUUAGUAUUCUAGUGGGCAUGCCUGUUCGAGCGUCAUUUCAACCCUUAAGCCCCUGUUGCUUAGCGUUGGUAGCCUACAGCCUGCUGUAGUUCCUCAAAGUUAGUGGCGGAGUCAGUUCACACUCUAGACGUAGUAAAAUCUUUAUCUCGCCUAUAGAUGAGCUGGCGCCUUGCCGUAAAAACCCCUAAUCUUUUACAAGGUUGACCUCGGAUCAGGUAGGAAUACCCGCUGAACUUAAGCAUAUCAAUAAGCGGAGGA